ACUAAGGUAGUUUAUUAAAAUAAUACGUUGUGGAAGUAUAGAUGUGUAGCACUCUUAGUA
RNAcentral lists this transfer RNA (60 nucleotides) under Gammarus fossarum. RNAcentral's name for it is "tRNA-His". Lineage: Eukaryota; Metazoa; Arthropoda; Malacostraca; Amphipoda; Gammaridae. The record is from RNAcentral.